RNAcentral lists this ribosomal RNA (258 nucleotides) under uncultured bacterium. RNAcentral describes it as "partial 16S ribosomal RNA". It matches the Rfam family "Bacterial small subunit ribosomal RNA", at positions 519 to 776 of the family's 1533-position model. The record is from RNAcentral.
GGUAAUACGAAGGGGGCUAGCGUUGUUCGGAAUUACUGGGCGUAAAGCGCGUGUAGGCGGCAUUGCAAGUCUUGUGUGAAAGCCCUGGGCUCAACCCAGGAAGUGCGCGAGAUACUGCAGUGCUGGAGUGCUGGAGAGGGUGGCGGAAUUCCCGGUGUAGAGGUGAAAUUCGUAGAUAUCGGGAGGAACACCUGUGGCGAAGGCGGCCACCUGGACAGUGACUGACGCUGAGACGCGAAAGCGUGGGUAGCAAACAGG